CAAUAAAGCGUUUUAAGAGCAUUUGGUGGAUGCCUUGGCAUUAAGAGGCGAUGAAAGACGUGGUACGCUGCGAUAAGCGACGGGGAGGUGCGAACAACCUUUGAUCCGUCGAUCUCUGAAUGGGGGAACCCACUGCACACUGCAGUAUCCUGUUCUGAAUACAUAGGACCAGGAAGCAAACCCGGCGAAUUGAAACAUCUAAGUAGCCGGAGGAAAGGAAAUCAAACGAGACUCCGUUAGUAGUGGCGAGCGAACGCGGACCAGGCCAGCCUUUACGAAAAGAACAAUUUGAAUCAUCUGGAAAGAUGAACGACAGAGGGUGAUAGUCCCGUAGAAGUAAUGUCUUUUUGUAGAGCUCGAGUAGGGCGGAACACGUGAAAUUCUGUCUGAAUAUAGGGGGACCAUCCUCUAAGCCUAAGUACUCCUUAAUGACCGAUAGUGAACUAGUACCGUGAGGGAAAGGCGAAAAGAACCCCAAGAAGGGGAGUGAAAUAGACCCUGAAACCAAAUGCUUACAAUCAGUCAGAGCACCUUUAAGGUGUGAUGGCGUACCUCUUGCAUAAUGGGUCAGCGAGUUAGUCUCUGUAGCAAGCUUAAGCCGAUAGGUGUAGGCGCAGCGAAAGCGAGUCUGAAUAGGGCGAUUGAGUUACAGGGAUUAGACCCGAAACCGGGUGAUCUACCCAUGGACAGGUUGAAGUUACGGUAACACGUAAUGGAGGACCGAACCAUAUGCUGUUGCAAUAGCUGUGGAUGAUCUGUGGGUAGGAGUGAAAGGCUAAUCAAACUCGGAAAUAUCUGGUUCUCCGCGAAAUAUAUUUAGGUAUAGCGUCAGAGGGUUACCAUCGGGGGUAGAGCACUGGAUAGGCUAGGGGGGAGCAAUCUCUACCAAACCUAACCAAACUCCGAAUACCGAUGAGUAUACUCUGGCAGACAGACUACGGGUGCUAAGGUCCGUGGUCGAAAGGGAAACAGCCCAGACCGCCAUCUAAGGUCCCCAAGUCAUCAUUAAGUGGGAAAGGAUGUGGGAAGGCCAAGACAGCUAGGAGGUUGGCUUAGAAGCAGCCAUCCUUUAAAGAAAGCGUAACAGCUCACUAGUCUAGUUAAGCCGUCCUGCGCCGAAAAUGUACCGGGGCUAAAAUGAUGCACCGAAGAUGCGGAUUUUAGGAAUCUAUCGUGAUUCUUAAAGUGGUAGCGGAGCGUUCUGUAAAUCUGCGAAGGAAUACGGUGACGUAUUCUGGAGAUAUCAGAAGUGAGAAUGCUGACAUAAGUAACGACAAAGCAUGUGAGAAACAUGCUCGCCGAAAGUCCAAGGUUUCCUGCGCAAGGUUAAUCCGCGCAGGGUUAGUCGGCCCCUAAGGUGAGGGCGAAAGCCGUAAUCGAUGGGAACAAGGUUAAUAUUCCUUGACCAGUCUGAAGUGACGAAGAUUGUAAGGUGUCUUUCCUAAUUGGAUUGGAAAGGCAGUGAAAAUCUUCCAGGAAAUAGCUCAGACGUAAAUGACCGUACCCUAAACCGACACAGGUGGAUGAGUAGAAUAUACUAAGGCGCUUGAGAGAAAUAUGUUGAAGGAACUCGGCAAAUUGACCCUGUAACUUCGGAAGAAAGGGUACCCAUCUUUGGGCAACCAGAAAUGGGUGGCACAGAAUAGGGGGUGGCGACUGUUUAUCUAAAACACAGGACUAUGCUAAGUCGAAAGACGAUGUAUAUGGUCUGACGCCUGCCCGGUGCUGGAAGGUUAAGAGGAGGUGUGCAAGCUCCGAAUUGAAGCCCCAGUAAACGGCGGCCGUAACUAUAACGGUCCUAAGGUAGCGAAAUUCCUUGUCAGGUAAGUUCUGACCCGCAC
RNAcentral lists this ribosomal RNA (1841 nucleotides) under Alphaproteobacteria bacterium RIFCSPLOWO2_01_FULL_45_8. RNAcentral's name for it is "bacterial LSU rRNA". It matches the Rfam family "Bacterial large subunit ribosomal RNA", at positions 1 to 1993 of the family's 2925-position model. Lineage: Bacteria; Pseudomonadati; Pseudomonadota; Alphaproteobacteria. The record is from RNAcentral.